UGGUCGAUUUUUGAAACGUCAUCAAUAGCGACGGAAACUGUCUCUUGUUGUAAGAAGCACUCUUUUUGUUUUUUCUUCUAUUUUAAACCAUUUUGAGUUGUCCUUUUCUAAAGCAACGAUAACAAUACAGUAACCACGAUUAGGAGUAACCAAGGAAGAAGAAAGACAAGAUUCUUUCAUUUUUUUCUUCAUUCUGAUUCUUCAUAAAGGAUUUGACGAGACCGCUUGUUUGGACGUGGGCAGAUAGGCAGCCUUUUUCAGACCAGACUGAUCAUCAUCUGAGAAGACAAGCCUGGUGCCAUCAUGGAUUUUGAUUCACUCUACAAGAACGUUUUUCUGAAAGUUGGCAGGAGUAAUAAUAAUAAAAGAUUGAACAAAAUUUACUGUAAGCCAUGCAGAGUGCUCUGCCGUGGACAGCUCGUCUAUAUGAAGCAUUGCUUAACCUUUGGACAUUUAGAGACCAUGAAGACCCUUUCCACUCAAGGUGCCCUCCUGUACAUUCUGAAGUACAAAGCUAAAACCCCAGUAGUUGGUAAGU
Long non-coding RNA from Polypterus senegalus (gray bichir), 538 nucleotides. RefSeq lists it as uncharacterized. NCBI's taxonomy places the organism in Eukaryota, Metazoa, Chordata, Cladistia, Polypteriformes, Polypteridae. The transcript has 5 exons. The record is from RefSeq and is a predicted model, not a curated record.